GACGAACGCUGGCGGCGUGCUUAACACAUGCAAGUCGAACGGAAAGGCCCUGCUUUUGUGGGGUUCUCGAGUGGCGAACGGGUGAGUAACACGUGAGUAACCUGCCCUUGACUUUGGGAUAACUUCAGGAAACUGGGGCUAAUACCGGAUAGGAGCUCCUGCUCCAUGGUGGGCGUUGGAAAGUUUCGGCGGUUGGGGAUGGACUCGCGGCUUAUCAGCUUGUUGGUGGGGUAGUGGCUUACCAAGUGUUUGACGGGUAGCCGGCCUGAGAGGGUGACCGGCCACAUUGGGACUGAGAGACGGAGCAGAGUGCUAUGGGAGGCAGAAGUGGGGAAUAUUGCACAGUGAGCGGGAGCCUGAUGCAGCAACGCCGGGUGCGGGAUGACGGCCUUCGGGUUGUGAACCGCUUUCGCCUGUGACGAAGCGGGAGUGACGGUAAUGAGUAAAGAAGCACCGGCUAACUACGUG
RNAcentral lists this ribosomal RNA (468 nucleotides) under uncultured bacterium. Its description in RNAcentral is "partial 16S ribosomal RNA". It matches the Rfam family "Bacterial small subunit ribosomal RNA", at positions 28 to 507 of the family's 1533-position model. The record is from RNAcentral.